Molecule: regulatory RNA element, 105 nt
Organism: Dialister sp. CAG:588
Lineage: Bacteria; Bacillati; Bacillota; Negativicutes; Veillonellales; Veillonellaceae
Rfam family: SAM riboswitch aptamer (S box leader)
About the family: The SAM riboswitch is found upstream of a number of genes which code for proteins involved in methionine or cysteine biosynthesis in Gram-positive bacteria. The SAM riboswitch acts at the level of transcription termination control.
Source: Rfam
GACUCAUCAAGAGUAGCAGAGGGAACGGCCCAAUGAAGCUACAGCAACCAUCUAUUAUAAGAUAAGGUGCUAAUUCCAACAGUUUAUAUGCUGUUAAGAUGAGGG